Molecule: transfer RNA, 71 nt
Filed under: Rhinichthys osculus (speckled dace)
Lineage: Eukaryota; Metazoa; Chordata; Actinopteri; Cypriniformes; Leuciscidae
Description: tRNA-Cys
Rfam family: tRNA
About the family: Transfer RNA (tRNA) molecules are approximately 80 nucleotides in length. Their secondary structure includes four short double-helical elements and three loops (D, anti-codon, and T loops).
Source: RNAcentral
CAAGCCCCGUGGUGGAGAUACACGUUGGAUUGCAAAUCCAGAGACGCAGAGUAAUACGCUGCCGGGGCUUU